Molecule: long non-coding RNA, 592 nt
Organism: Melitaea cinxia (Glanville fritillary)
Lineage: Eukaryota; Metazoa; Arthropoda; Insecta; Lepidoptera; Nymphalidae
Exons: 2
Source: RefSeq, a predicted model, not a curated record
UCUGGCAGGGUCGGACCAUGAAGCUUGGGUGUUACAAGCGCCUCUAACCGCACAGGGGACUAGCGCUGCCGCCGCUCUGUUAAGAUGAUUGAGGAGCCUGACCGGGAGAUACGUCACUCGGUCGAGUUGCUGCGGCGACUGCGUGCACGACUGGUGCUAGGCUGGCGCGUGACUGGCAAGUGGCUGUCACGUGUCUGAAACGUGGCUGGCAAGUGGCUGGCAAGUGAUUGACACGUUUCUGGCACGUGACCGGUAUGUGGCUGAUACGCGAUUCACAAGUGACUAGCAAGUGCCUGGCACUGGCUGACUGACAUGUCGCUGGGACGUGGCUAAUGCAACUAAAGCGAAUGUGACGUUAUUGUUUCUGGAUGGCAGAGGUUAGACUCUCAAGAACGUAGGAAAAUGUCAAGAUAUCAGUGUUAGUUAAAUGUUUUUUUUUAUUGAUUGAUUCUAGUCUACGGUUUAUUUGUGCGACAAUAAAUACAUUUACCUAACAGCGCAUGUCAAAAUUGAUCGCUCAUAUAAUUAACACAUGUUUUCAUUAAUAGUGUUGUAGUUAUAUUUCAGAAAUAAAUAAUAUCUGUUAAUGCUA